GGCUGGUCCGAAGGUGGUGAGUUAUCUCAAUUGAUUGUUCACAGUCAGUUACAGAUUGAACUCCUUAUUCUACUUUUUCCCCACUUCUCACUACUGCACUUGACUAGUCUUAA
This 113-nucleotide Y RNA is filed under the name Aotus nancymaae (Ma's night monkey). RNAcentral describes it as "Y RNA (ENSANAG00000006613.1)". It matches the Rfam family "Y RNA". From Rfam's summary of the family: Y RNAs are components of the Ro ribonucleoprotein particle (Ro RNP), in association with Ro60 and La proteins. The record is from Rfam by way of RNAcentral. Lineage: Eukaryota; Metazoa; Chordata; Mammalia; Primates; Aotidae.